UGGACUCUACGCCUCACCCCCAGAUCUGCAUCGGAAUGCAGAAAAGAUCUUUAAAAAAAAAAGUUUUGAAUUCCUCAAUGAUUUUUCUUCUGGAAAGGCGGCUUAGGAUAAUUAUUUCAGCUUUAUUGAGGGCAGAUUAGUUGAAGUCUGGAAGCUGCGUUUCAAUACGCGUUGUACAUGGGGCCGACAAUGUCG
RNAcentral lists this long non-coding RNA (195 nucleotides) under Phascolarctos cinereus (koala). RNAcentral describes it as "Six3os1 conserved region 7 (ENSPCIG00000006916.2)". It matches the Rfam family "Six3os1 conserved region 7". Lineage: Eukaryota; Metazoa; Chordata; Mammalia; Diprotodontia; Phascolarctidae. The record is from RNAcentral.